AUACAUUGUGAAAAAUCAUCAACCAAGAAGGGGCCAUCAGGAUAGAACACGUUAGCCUGUGGAGCUGGGAGCAUGCUGGAGAAUGGAUUUAGCUACAGCUUUGCUUCGUGCGUGGUGUCUGUUUGUUUCUUUACUUUUAGAUUUUGAUAGCCAGAGAAUCUAGGUGCCAAGAGUUGAUUCAUUUUUGUAAUCAUUGAUUUACAUGCACUUCUGGGUGUGCACCUGUCUGUCUCUCAUACAUUUUCUCCAUUUUCUAUUAACGACCAUGCUCUAGGGGAACUAUUUAUAGCCCACCCAUCGAGGAGGCCCACGUUUUAGUCACGCCAGGCCUCCUUUCUCCCGUGUGGUCUUUCUUCUGAAACAAAGAAGAAAUAGUCAAAUCAGACUUACCCUCUUGGAAAUGUGGUCCAGAUUGCUCUACUCCCAAGCUCCAAAAAAGGUAUCCUUGAGUGGGCUCGAGCCACACCUCCUCGGAGCCGUGAAGCCACGGAGGUGUUUUCCACAUUGCAGGUGGGGCAGAGAAAAAUCCCAUCUCAGAGCAGAGGGGGGGCUUUGGAACAGAGAUGGUUACUCAUCUCUCUGCCACUCCAACUUCGAGACCAGGGGCAAGUCAUUUAGACGCUGUGAGCCUCUUUAUCUUCAAAAUGGGGAGAAGUAAUGCGCCCUAAGGGAAGAUUGUAAGAAUUAAGUGAAAUAAUGCAUAUCCAUGCCUAACAAAGCGCUUAGCAUGUUAAAAAAAUAGUUCAUGAAAUAUUACUUAUUCCCCCUUCCCCUCUCUCUUCCCUGUCUCUUCCUUUUUCUCCCCCUCUCCCUUCAGAUGUUAGUCUAAAACCAGCCCCUUCAAGAGAGAAAAUACUAGAAAAUGCCUAAUAAAAUACAAGCAAGCAACUAAAAAAAAAAUGCCUAGUUGCCUCCUUUCCAUAUGUGGCUGACAUCCGUCAGUUGGAUCAAUAGUUUAAUUCUUUUCCCUUGAACUGUUUUAAUGAUGAUUGACCUAUUUUCACUUCUGCUGUUUUCUGUAUGUUUAUUUUUGCUUGACUGUUUUAAUAUUGACUAUUGAUCUCUACUCAUUUUUACUGGUUUUCUGUAAUUUUUUUUUCAAUGAGAAUUCCAAUAAAACUUACUCUGUUUAUCUUUGGCCUCUCCAUUUCCUCCACACAACGGGAUUUUAGCCUACGCUCUGAAAAUAUCUGGGCUGCUCCAGAAAGAUAAAUGAUGCCUUUUCCUUAGAAACUGCCCACUGGUAGUGCCAGGAGAACUGGAUCCUUUCUGUUCUAUUUGCAUAUCAGUGUGCUUGGGGUAAUGGGUCGUGUUAGUUGUAACUUUUGAUGCUAGUUUAACUUUCAAACAUACAGAAAUUAUAUAAAAAAAAUUUACAGAGUUCCCGUCAUGGCUCAGUGGUUAAUGAAUCCGACUGGGAACCAUGAGGUUACGGGUUCAAUCCCUGGCCUUGCUCAGUGGGUUAAGGAUCUGGCGUUGCCAUGAGCUGUGGUGUAGGUUGCAGACAUGGCUCAGAUCCCGCGUUGCUAUGGCUCUGGCGUAGGCCGGUGACUACAGCUCCGAUUAGACCCCUAGCCUGGGAACCUCCAUAUGCCGCAGGAACGGCCUAAGAAAUGGCAAAAAAAAAAAAAAUUACAGAGUAAUUUAAAUGUAUUGCUAUAAAAAACAGAGUAUAAGUAAAAGUCUGUAAAAGUCUGUGAGACCAUAUUUGUAUCCAGAGUUCUUCUUUAAUUGAAUUUGUUUUUCAAACCAUAUUCUUAGCCAUAUAUAUAGAUAUAUAUCCAGAUCCUAUUAGCAUCUCUCCCCCUUAGUACGUAUUCAAAUAGUAGUGGAUAAGUUAAUGGGAGAGAAAGGAAGGGAGAAGAUGUGGGGAGGGAAAUAAAGAAGUAAAAGGCCCUAUCACCAUCAGAAAUAGACUGUAUGGUGAGGAAAGUAGGGCAUACACGCAUACUCAGCUAAAGGUCUACUACAAGAGUUCAAUUCUGGAGCAGGAUAGAUAUUACUAGGACAUUCCGGAUGAAAUGUGAUGAGUGACAUAAACAAAAUUCCUGUAGGGAUUCAGAGCAAGGAAAGUUCUCUAGAAUCAGGGACGGAUCUGUGUCAGGAUUUAGGACAUCAGCCAAAUUUCCAUGGGCAAGAGUCAAGGACUUAGAAAUUAAUUUAUCAAGGAAUUUAUGAAAAGCUCAAGUGAGUAGUUCUUGGAAAUUUUUCCAGCAUACAAACUGUUCGACCCUGGAGCACGUAUUUACUUCUAAAUAUCAUGGCAAGUGCCAUUAGAAGCAGAUAGUAGAGUUUAACGGACACACUUGCUCAGAUUAAUUAAUUACUGCUGAAUCCCAGUGGGCUGCAAUUAGCUCUUACCCAUGUGGGAGAAGACAAGUCUAGGCUGCCAGCAGGCCUGUGAUCUUAAGGAUGGCCAUACACUUGUCCGAUCUUUCCCCUCUUUUCUUCUUGCGUGGUUGUCUCUAAGCUCCAAUAUUACUGAAGUUGUGAGGCAGCUUGUGCAAAAGUGGUUGCCUUCAACAAGGACCCAGCAUCCUCCAGCAGCUCUAGAUAUUGAAUCUGUCACUAGACGCUGGCCUUUCAGGGAGAUGGGGUGGCAACAGAUCUCACAGUGCAUUCCUUUGUAAAGUGCGUAUCAAUCACUGCCCAGUGGAACAAAAUGCUGUCGUAAAAAGCGAUGUCACCCAACAAACAAAUGAGUAAAGACCUGACCGUGAUCAUGCCACAAGCAGGAGACACAGGCAUCGGCACAGGGUGAGAGUGAAAUACGGGACAGAACAAUCCUUUUCACUUUCUUUCCUUCCCAAAGCCUCAUCAAAAGUUUCACAUCAUCAGAGGUUUCACCAACAAAAUUACCUUAAUCAAUAGACAGUAAUAUCCAUGGGAUCUGGGUUGGGCAGCUUCAAAAAAACCACGCGUUGUCUUCCACAUUCAAAUCCUAAAGCAGCACUAUGGAAUGAUAAGACUUCCUGUUUGGUGGAAUAACAAGUUCAGAAUUAUAUCAUUCUUUGGACAGUUGCAGGAACUCUGAAGCCAUGGUUCCUUGCAAAGACUUAUCUUUCUCGUCCCAAUCUGGACCUCCCACUUGUCUUUGCCUGAGCGAGAGUGGACGUAUGCUCACCCCCACUCUCACCUGCCUACAUUUAUGACCCAAAGUCACUCAUAUCCACAUGUCAGGCGUGACUGAUGGGGAGGUGCAGCAGCAGCUCCAGGUGAGAGUGGAGUCUACACAGGGGAACAGAGCCCAGGACCUCAGGGAGCCCAAAAUAACAUGACCCUCUUGGUCAUGAGCUUCAGGUCUUCCAUCUCUAAACUAUUCUUAAAAUCAGAUCUCCCAAGGGCAGCCACUCCAGAGAGAGUAGCCCCAAACCUGUACUUACCCAGUUCUCCUUGGGUUGGAAACACUGAGGGUCAGUGGGUAGAGUGGGAGAGGGUUUGAAGCAAUCUCUCAUGAUGCUACUUACUGGAUGGCUCUUCUCUUCAAGACCUUUCAUCAAAGAGCCCCUAGACAUAGGACUGUCUGCUAGUCCAGGCCUCCUCAUCUCUCUUUUCACCUUUAUCCAGAUGAAUAUAAAAUGAAUUGGUUGGUUUAAGGUAAUAAUAUUAUGGCCCUCAUGGUUCAUUCUUUCAUUCCAUUAGCUCUUUUCUCUUUCAUAUGUUUAUUUGGACAUUACAAAAUAGAGCUUCCUGGCCAAGAGAUAUAAACAUAUUCUGGGAAUAGGUUUUAAAAGGGAACAUACAAGCAACUUAUUGCUCAUCCAAAAUCAGAUUGCAAAGAGGGCUCAGUGAAUAUGAUGACUUAGUUGCUUGCUGAAUUAAGUUCAAAGUGCCAACCGUGACCAUCAAGUCCCCAUGAGGCCUGCAUUUGUCCCCUCUCUCUGACUUCAUCUCCCGCCUCUAGUUCAACCCCUCGCGGAUUUUUUUCAUGUUCCCUAAGUAAACCAAAUGCACUUCUAGUGCAGAGCCAUUGAAAUUGCUGUUCCCUCUGCCUAGAAUAUUCUUCCUAGACACCUACUUGUCUCAUCUUCUCAUUGCUUCAAGUCUCUUCUCAAAAGUCUCCUUAUCAGUGAGACCUGUCACGUGACUAACCGCUAGCAAAUAAUCAGUCCCAUGUAUAUAUAAUAUAGAUAUAUGAGUCUGUGGAUAACUGAAUCACUUUCUUGUACACUUGAAACUAACACAUUGUAACUUAACUAUACCUUAAUUAAAAAAAAAAAUAAGUCCCCUCUUCCUCCACACUCCCACCACCUAACCCUGAUUCAUUUUUGCCAUAGGUAACACCUUUCAUUUAUCUGAUAUACUCCAUGUCUACCUAAUUUUUAAAGAUCGCUUGGUUGCCUUUCCUCACUAGAAUAUAAGCUCCAGGAGGCGAGGGGAUAGAUCUGUCUCUUGUUUACUGCUUUAUCUCCAGAGUCUGUGCGUUGUAGACAUUCAAAUAUUUGUUGAAUGAGGUAAUAGUCAUCAGGUACUUCCUGGCAUCUUUGUGUCUAGAUGCUGACAUUAUGUAUCACAAUAGCAAAUAAUUGCUUGUAUUUCUGCUCAUUUGAAGUAACGAUGCUUUAAGCAUUAUCUUCUCAUAAGACCAAAAACAAAAAAACAACAAAAAAAAACACUUUAUGUUUUCCAGUGUCCCCCCCCCUUAUAAGUAAUAGCAUGGUGUGCAUCUUUGCCCAUCAAAUUUUAUACAAAUUCUUCCCUAUGAAAAAAUGUUUUGUUGUGGAAUUACUGAGUCAGAAGUUAAUGGGCAUUUUUAUGGCUCUUUAUUUAUGUUACCAAAUUGCUUUCCAGGGAGAGCAGUCCAUACUCCAACAGAAGGAAAGUGUCAGAAAUUUUUGUUUGACUUUUUGGGGGGCAGUAUCAUGUUGAUUUCUAACCAAGUUAACCAGAUUCCCUUGUUCUCCCGGUUCUUUUAUCCCUCCUGACAAAGUCCAAUUGUGCUAUUCUUAUUUACAUUUUGAACUUUGAUUCUAGAUAUAGGAGGAAAGAAAUUUUUUAGAAAUAGAAGCAAGUCAGAAACUGUAUUUUCCAAGUCCUCUAUUAUACAUAAGAGGCAAGGAAGUUCCAAAAUCAAACUAUUGGUUGCGAGCAAGGCUAGGCAUGAGGGAUUAGGGCCUGGUGGCUCUCAGGUCAGCACCUGAAAAUAUGUGAAAACAGCGAGUUAGUUUACAGGAAUCAGAGUACACCGUGCUACCUCUGAAUGAUCAGUGUCUACCUGUUCCUUGUUGAAAUUAAUGUCAAAAUGUCCACAAGAGUCUCUCUUGAUGUUGAGAGAUUAGAUAGAUUUCUGGCGAGUAGGAUGUAACUUUUAAGCUGAACUACCUGUUCCACUUGCUACAUUAACUUGUUCUGGAAUGCUGUUUAUCUUAUUUUCUCUUGCACAAUCUGACCUCUUCACAUUUGCCUUCUUUAUUUCAUAAAAUGACAACCAAGAAACUAGUUGCAUUUGUUGCAAAUCUUUGAAUAGAAGUAAAACAAUUAGAUAACCGGUCUCCUUCCCAAAGGAAAAGGGUUUGUGCUCCUCUGAGCUAACACAAAAUUGUCGUUUGGACACUGUGGGAAUGACUAUUCAAAUGAAUGCAUACAUUUAUAGAAAGCUAUAUGCCUUUGAAGACAUUUCUCUCACAUAUACACACACACCUCCUCUUUCUCUCUAGGGAAAUGUAGGCUAAUGAAAACUUGGAAUUAUAUUUUGCCUUUCCUUUUAAAUCCUCAAAACCAAUACUGUAUUUUGGUUUUUGUUUUUUUUCUUUCUCACAUGUGUAUGCCUUCAUAAGAUCUCUUUUCAGAUAAGGUGUUCUUACCUUAUUCAUGGAUUGAUUUGCUACAAGAAUGUCAUAGCAGAAGAUCAAACAGUGCUUAACAUCCGUGGUAAACAAGAAUAAUUAACAGAGCUCUGUUUAUUUCUAAAAAGAUCUUGAGGGACGAAUCAAUUAAUAGCUUAAAUAGAACACUGUGUCCUGAUUAAAAAA
RNAcentral lists this long non-coding RNA (5972 nucleotides) under Sus scrofa (pig). RNAcentral's name for it is "lncRNA (ENSSSCG00005036126.1)". The stretch from base 287 to 438 matches the Rfam family "Rhabdomyosarcoma 2 associated transcript conserved region 10". The record is from RNAcentral. Lineage: Eukaryota; Metazoa; Chordata; Mammalia; Artiodactyla; Suidae.